RNAcentral lists this ribosomal RNA (357 nucleotides) under Phyllocoptes sp. FJ13_2. Its description in RNAcentral is "partial small subunit ribosomal RNA". The record is from RNAcentral. Lineage: Eukaryota; Metazoa; Arthropoda; Arachnida; Trombidiformes; Eriophyidae.
CUUAUUUUUUAAGAGUGACGGGCGAUAUGUGCAUCUCAAAUUUCUAUAUCCAAUUAAAAUUUUUGUUGUUAAUUUAUUAUUAAGUUCUGUCUAACCUCGCUUAAUGUUUAAGCAUAUUUUUAAUUGUAUCCCAUUUUCCCUUCUAUAUUUUCUUUGUCUUGAUUUGCCUUUUAACGAUAAAGUUUUCUAAUGAUUCAUUCAUUUUUUUAUUUUUAAGCAAUGAUAUAAAAGAUAAAAAUUGAAGUUCAAUUAAUCGUGGGUUGUCGGUCUAUGAUCUCAGGAUCCCCUACCUAGUUUUGAGACCGCCGUUAUAUUUAGAUUUUACUUCUAGAGCUACUAUCUAAUUUUGUUUUAAAA